GAGCACCCGUUUCAUUAGCUAGUUGGAGGGGGAACGGCCCACCCACGCGACGAUCUUUAGCUGGUUUGAGAGGAGGAUCAUCCACACUGGGAGUGAGGCACGGCCCCGACUUCUCCGGGGGGGGGCAGUGGGGGAGUUUCCGCAAAGGGGGAAAACCCCACGGAGCAAGACCCCCUGAGGGGGGAAGGCCUCCCGGUGGUAAACCUCUUUUUAUAUGGAAGAAAAAAAUGACGGUACCUAUCGAAUCAGCAUCGGCUAAUCCGUGCCAGCAGCCGCGGUAAUACGGAGGAGGCCCGCGUUUCCGGAAUUAUUGGGGGUGAAGCCCCGUAGGUGGUUAUUCAAGUCAGCUGUUAAAGGGUGGAGCUUAACUCCAUAUAGGAAGUUGAAACUGCUUAGCUAGAGUGCGAUAGGGGCAAGGGGAAUUCCCACUUAGCGGCGAAAAGUGAAGUUUUUUGAAGAACAUCGGUGGCGAAAGCGCCUAUCUGUGUCUUCACUGACAUCCCUUGGACC
RNAcentral lists this ribosomal RNA (510 nucleotides) under Leptolyngbya subtilis SAR 1. RNAcentral's name for it is "partial 16S ribosomal RNA". It matches the Rfam family "Bacterial small subunit ribosomal RNA", at positions 227 to 756 of the family's 1533-position model. The record is from RNAcentral. Lineage: Bacteria; Bacillati; Cyanobacteriota; Cyanophyceae; Leptolyngbyales; Leptolyngbyaceae.